Molecule: ribosomal RNA, 914 nt
Filed under: Punctularia strigosozonata
Lineage: Eukaryota; Fungi; Basidiomycota; Agaricomycetes; Corticiales; Punctulariaceae
Description: LSU rRNA
Rfam family: Eukaryotic large subunit ribosomal RNA
Source: RNAcentral
AAGCGGAGGAAAAGAAACUAACAAGGAUUCCCCUAGUAACUGCGAGUGAAGCGGGAAGAGCUCAAAUUUAAAAUCUGGCGGUCUUUGGCCGUCCGAGUUGUAAUCUAGAGAAGUGUUUUCUGCGUCGGACCGUGUACAAGUUUCUUGGAACAGAACAUCAUAGAGGGUGAGAAUCCCGUCUUUGACACGGACUGCCGGUGCUUUGUGAUGCACUCUCAAAGAGUCGCGUUGUUUGGGAAUGCAGCGCAAAACGGGUGGUGAAUUCCAUCUAAAGCUAAAUAUUGGCGAGAGACCGAUAGCGAACAAGUACCGUGAGGGAAAGAUGAAAAGCACUUUGGAAAGAGAGUUAAACAGUACGUGAAAUUGUUGAAAGGGAAACGCUUGAAGUCAGUCGCGUCUUGCGGAACUCAGCCUUGCUUCUGCUUGGUGUAUUUUCUGCUUGACGGGCCAGCAUCGAUUUUGACCGUCGGAUAAAGUGCAGGGGAAUGUGGCAUCCUCGGAUGUGUUAUAGCCUCCGCUCGCAUACGACGGUCGGGAUCGAGGACCGCAGCACGCCUUUAUGGCCGGGGUUCGCCCACGUACGUGCUUAGGAUGCCGGCGUAAUGGCUUUAAACGACCCGUCUUGAAACACGGACCAAGGAGUCUAACAUGCCUGCGAGUGUUUGGGUGGAAAACCCAUGCGCGUAAUGAAAGUGAAAGUUGAGACCUCUGUCGUGGAGGGCAUCGACGCCCGGUCUUGAGCUUCGGCGACGGAUCCGCGGUUGAGCAUGUAUGUUGGGACCCGAAAGAUGGUGAACUAUGCCUGAAUAGGGUGAAGCCAGAGGAAACUCUGGUGGAGGCUCGUAGCGAUUCUGACGUGCAAAUCGAUCGUCAAAUUUGGGUAUAGGGGCGAAAGACUAAUCGAACCAUCUAGU